Molecule: long non-coding RNA, 362 nt
Filed under: Nicotiana benthamiana
Lineage: Eukaryota; Viridiplantae; Streptophyta; Magnoliopsida; Solanales; Solanaceae
Description: long non-coding RNA (NBEN_LNC016078)
Source: RNAcentral
GGAAACAAGCUGAAAGCAUGAAAAUAACAUAGAUCUGAGAGAUUCAGAAAAGAGCUAGGGUUUAAAAAAGGAAACCCAAAAUAGAAAUUGAAAGAACCUGUUGUAACUUCACAAAUCGUAAGACACAUGGUGUGAUUUUGCCCAAAAUCACACCAGAGAAACCUCAAACAACAGAAUCAGAAACCUUAGGUCCCAAUCAAUAUGGCCCAGGACCCUUGAGGGCCUUAGAUAUGAUGAGCAAGGAGGUGGAGUGACCAUUGGAAGCUUGGGGUUGAGAGGAUGGUCGCCGGAGAUGACCAGAGAAGGAGAUGAGUGAAAGAGUCUAAGGUUAGGUUUGAGAGAAGAGAAAAUGAGAGCAUCCG